RNAcentral lists this ribosomal RNA (302 nucleotides) under uncultured archaeon. Its description in RNAcentral is "partial 16S ribosomal RNA". It matches the Rfam family "Archaeal small subunit ribosomal RNA", at positions 477 to 747 of the family's 1478-position model. The record is from RNAcentral.
CUGCAGCCCGAGUGGUGAUCGAUUUUAUUGAGCCUAAAGCGUCCGUAGCCGGACUAGUAAACCCUUGGGUAAAUUGGGCAGCUUAACUGUCCAAAUUCCGAGGGGACUGUUAGUCUUGGGACCGGGAGAGGUCAGAGGUACUCAAGGGGUAGGGGCUAAAUCCGAUAUGGUGUUGAGCCAGUCGGUUAGCAUUCCUGUAAUCCUUGGGGGACCACCAGUGGCGAAGGCGUCUGACUAGAACGGAUCCGACGGUAAGGGACGAAACCCUGGGGCGCGAACCGGAUUAGAUACCCGAGUAGUCC